GGCUUCGUAGCUCAGUUGGUGGAGCGCUUGCCGCACUGAGGCAUGCUGUUUCUGUCGCUGGUUCGAAUCCAGCGGAAGCCC
Molecule: transfer RNA, 81 nt
Filed under: Paragonimus skrjabini miyazakii
Lineage: Eukaryota; Metazoa; Platyhelminthes; Trematoda; Plagiorchiida; Troglotrematidae
Description: Paragonimus miyazakii tRNA
Rfam family: tRNA
About the family: Transfer RNA (tRNA) molecules are approximately 80 nucleotides in length. Their secondary structure includes four short double-helical elements and three loops (D, anti-codon, and T loops).
Source: Rfam by way of RNAcentral